GAUGAACGCUGGCGGCGUGCUUAACACAUGCAAGUCGAACGGAAAGGCCCAAGCUUGCUUGGGUACUCGAGUGGCGAACGGGUGAGUAACACGUGGGUGAUCUGCCCUGCACUUCGGGAUAAGCCUGGGAAACUGGGUCUAAUACCGGAUAGGACCACUUCUUGGAUGUUGUGGUGGAAAGUUUUUUCGGUGUGGGAUGGGCUCGCGGCCUAUCAGCUUGUGGGUGGGGUAAUGGCCUACCAAGGCGUCGACGGGUAGCCGGCCUGAGAGGGUGUACGGCCACAGUGGGACUUAGAUACGGCCCAGACUCCUACGGGAGGCAGCAGUGGGGAAUAUUGCACAAUGGGCGCAAGCCUGAUGCAGCGACGCCGCGUGGGGGAUGACGGCCUUCGGGUUGUAAACUCCUUUCGCUAGGGACGAAGCGUUUUGUGACGGUACCUGGAGAAGAAGCACCGGCUAACUACGUG
Molecule: ribosomal RNA, 467 nt
Filed under: uncultured bacterium
Lineage: Bacteria
Description: partial 16S ribosomal RNA
Rfam family: Bacterial small subunit ribosomal RNA
Source: RNAcentral